This 253-nucleotide ribosomal RNA is filed under the name uncultured bacterium. RNAcentral describes it as "partial 16S ribosomal RNA". It matches the Rfam family "Bacterial small subunit ribosomal RNA", at positions 524 to 776 of the family's 1533-position model. The record is from RNAcentral.
UACGUAGGGGGCAAGCGUUGUCCGGAAUCAUUGGGCGUAAAGCGCGUGUAGGCGGCCCGGUAAGUCCGCUGUGAAAGUCCAGGGCUCAACCCUGGGAUGCCGGUGGAUACUGUCGGGCUCGAGUCCGGAAGAGGAGUGUGGAAUUCCUGGUGUAGCGGUGAAAUGCGCAGAUAUCAGGAGGAACACCAAUGGCGAAGGCAGCACUCUGGGCCGGGACUGACGCUGAGACGCGAAAGCGUGGGGAGCAAACAGG